GAUGAAGAACGUAGCGAAACGCGAUAAGUAAUGUGAAUUGCAGAAUCCAGUGAAUCAUCGAAUCUUUGAACGCACAUUGCGCCCGCCAGCAUUCUGGCGGGCAUGCCUGUUCGAGCGUCAUUUCAACCCUCGACCUCCCCUUGGGGAGGUCGGCGUUGGGGACCGGCAGCACACCGCCGGCCCUGAAAUGGAGUGGCGGCCCGUCCGCGGCGACCUCUGCGCAGUAAUACAGCUCGCACCGGGACCCCGACGCGGCCACGCCGUAAAACACCCAACUUCUGAACGUUGACCUCGAAUCAGGUAGGACUACCCGCUGAACUUAAGCAUAUCAAUAAGCCGGAGGA
RNAcentral lists this unclassified non-coding RNA (344 nucleotides) under soil metagenome. Its description in RNAcentral is "partial contains 5.8S ribosomal RNA, internal transcribed spacer 2, and large subunit ribosomal RNA". The stretch from base 1 to 120 matches the Rfam family "5.8S ribosomal RNA", at positions 35 to 154 of the family's 154-position model. The record is from RNAcentral.